UCGGAACAAACUUUGCAAAAGGAAGAAAACGGAAUCUGGAGUUCUAUUUGGCUCCGUCAGCGAGUUGAUUUCCCGGCCAACUGAUAACGAGGAAGGCUGAUCAAACUCUUCUUCGCCAAGUCUUGUCAACACGGAUCGCAUCGAGGUUCUACUGAGUGCAUUGCACAUUGGAAGAUUGGAAAAUGUCUAGUGGGGAGGUUAAAAAAGUCUCGCGUCAAGAUAUUCAACUGGUGCAAAAUCUCAUAGAAAGAUGCUUACAGCUUUACAUGAACCAGAAGGAAGUUACCACUACCCUCUUACAUCAGGCAAAGAUUGAGCCUGGUUUCACUGAACUUGUGUGGCAAAAGCUUGAAGAAGAAAACCAGGAAUUUUUCCAGGCAUAUUAUUUGAGGUUGAUAGUGAAGGACCAAAUACAAAGAUUCAAUGAAUUGCUUCACAGACAGCUUGAAACAAUGCAGAUAUAUCGAGCUGGUUCCAAUGCCAUUUCUAAUGGUUCGCAGAUUCGACCAAUGCCUCAGAACUCAACAUGUCAAGUGAUAGAACAUGCUGGACCCAAUGUGAAGCCUGAGAACAUGAACCGGACUGCUAAUGCCAAUUUACCUCAUGCAUACACUAAUGGUGCGUCCUCACUUCAGCCAUGUAUGCAAGCUGCUGUUGAUAUGUCUGCUAAUGGAAGAGGAAUUGAUGCAUCGGCAAACAUGCUAUUGGCUCAGAGCUCAAAUGUCGGAGUAAUGCAAGGACAGAAUGGGGGGAUGAUCAAAUCAGAAGUGCUUUAUUCAGGCAAUCUGCCGUUCCUCUAUGGUACAGAGAGCAAUAUUAUUGAAGCUCGUCCAGAAACUGGGGAUGCAUCUGGUUCAUCUUUCAGCAGCGGAGAAUCAAACUCUCAAGUGCUGAAUGAGUCUGUAUUGGAUGCUGAUUCAACUUCGUUUGGGUUCUUGGGGCAUAUUCCAUGAACUUCAGUUUGUCAGAUUUAACAGCAGAUUUUUCCAACAGUUCUGAUAUAAUGGAGAGCUACUCUGGAUCGGCCUUCCUAGCAACAGAUACUGGCAAUUUCCUGGAUCCUCAUGGUAGUGAAGAAAAUCAAGAUAUCAAGAGAUUGGAUGCUAUAUCAGAAGGCUUGAGUUACGAUGAUUUUGCCAGCGAUUGAGUGAACUUUCAUUCAGAUGGUCCAAUUAUUCCAGUACAAUGUUCUGUAAGUACGAUCAUGAAAGUGGAAAUGCUUCGACCCCUUUUUGAAGGCAUUGGUUGGUUUCAGUCAAGGUUAUAACUCAAUCGAUAUGGUUGAUCAUGCAUGGGGUAUGAGGAGUAGGAAAUAAUAUAAUGUAAGAAGUUGUGCAAAAUGAGGUUAGUCAUAGAAAUUAGAAACAAAGGAUAUUAUGAUGUAUAAGUUGUAAAUAGGGCUGUGAUUGUGAUGUAAUGUGUAGUCAAGAAUACUUGAACUUUUGUUUUCU
Nicotiana attenuata is the source of this 1451-nucleotide RNA transcript. RefSeq lists it as uncharacterized. NCBI's taxonomy places the organism in Eukaryota, Viridiplantae, Streptophyta, Magnoliopsida, Solanales, Solanaceae. The record is from RefSeq and is a predicted model, not a curated record. The transcript is spliced from 8 exons.